CGGAGGGGGCUAGCGUUGUUCGGAAUUACUGGGGCGUAAAGCGCGCGUAGGCGGUUCUUCAAGUCAGAGGUGAAAGCCCGGUGCUCAACAUCGGAAUUGCCUUUGAAACUAGGGAACUUGAAUCCAGGAGAGGUGAGUGGAAUUCCGAGUGUAGAGGUGAAAUUCGUAGAUAUUCGGAAGAACACCAGUGGCGAAGGCGGCUCACUGGACUGGUAUUGACGCUGAGGUGCGAAAGCGUGGGGAGCAAACAGGAUU
Molecule: ribosomal RNA, 255 nt
Filed under: uncultured bacterium
Lineage: Bacteria
Description: partial 16S ribosomal RNA
Rfam family: Bacterial small subunit ribosomal RNA
Source: RNAcentral